UAUUGCGCAAUGGAGGAAACUCUGACGCAGUGACGCCGCGUAUAGGAAGAAGGUUUUCGGAUUGUAAACUAUUGUCGUGAGGGAAGAAAUUGACAGUACCUCAGGAGGAAGCUCCGGCUAACUAUGUGCCAGCAGCCGCGGUGAUACAUAGGGAGCAAGCGUUAUCCGGAUUUAUUGGGUGUAAAGGGUGCGUAGACGGGAAAUUAAGUUAGUUGUGAAAUCCCUCGGCUUAACUAAGGAACUGCAACUAAAACUGAUUUUCUUGAGUACUGGAGAGGAAAGUGGAAUUCCUAGUGUAGCGGUGAAAUGCGUAGAUAUAUGGAAGAACACCAGUGGCGAAAGCGGCUCUCUGGUCUGUAACUGACGCUGAGGUUCGAAAGCGUGGGUAGCAAACAGG
This 397-nucleotide ribosomal RNA is filed under the name uncultured bacterium. RNAcentral describes it as "bacterial SSU rRNA". It matches the Rfam family "Bacterial small subunit ribosomal RNA", at positions 362 to 776 of the family's 1533-position model. The record is from RNAcentral.